This 292-nucleotide ribosomal RNA is filed under the name uncultured bacterium. Its description in RNAcentral is "partial 16S ribosomal RNA". It matches the Rfam family "Bacterial small subunit ribosomal RNA", at positions 506 to 796 of the family's 1533-position model. The record is from RNAcentral.
UGCCAGCAGCCGCGGUAAUACGGAGGGUGCAAGCGUUAUCCGGAAUCACUGGGUUUAAAGGGUGCGUAGGCGGUCUUGUAAGUCUGUAUUGAAAUCUUGGAGCUUAACUCCGAAAUUGGUAUGGAUACUGUGAGACUUGAAAUUAGAUGAGGUUGGCCGGAAUGUGACAUGUAGCGGUGAAAUGCUUAGAUAUGUCAUAGAACACCGAUUGCGAAGGCAGCUGACUGGACUAAAUUUGACGCUGAGGCACGAAAGCGUGGGGAUCAAACAGGAUUAGAUACCCUGGUAGUCC